RNAcentral lists this ribosomal RNA (326 nucleotides) under uncultured bacterium. Its description in RNAcentral is "bacterial SSU rRNA". It matches the Rfam family "Bacterial small subunit ribosomal RNA", at positions 29 to 351 of the family's 1533-position model. The record is from RNAcentral.
AAUGAAUGCUGGCGGCGUGCUUAACACAUGCAAGUCGAGCGAGAAAGUUUCUUCGGAAAUGAGUAAAGCGGCGAACGGUUGAAUAACACGUGAGAAUCUACCUUUUAGUGAGGAAUACCUCCGAGAAAUCGGAGUUAAUACCGCAUAAGUCUGUAUAGCAAUAUACAGAGAAAGAUGGCCUCUUUGCUAUCGCUGAAAGAUGAGCUUGCGUACUAUCAGUUAGUUGGUAGGGUAAUGGCCUACCAAGACUAUGACGGUUAGCCGGCCUGAGAGGGUGGUCGGCCAGACUGGAACUUAGACACGGUCCAGACUCCUACGGGAGGCUG